UGGGAGCCUGACGCGACUCGGGUCUGCUUGCGGGAGGGGCACGCCUGGGCUGAGCUGCCGGCCGGUGCCUGCCAGGUGCGCGGCGCGGGGCUGCGGCGGGCGGGCGCCCCAGAGAGGCAUCGCGGGUGGAGGGCGAGUCUCGAGAGCUUGCGGAACGGUCCAGCGCUAGGUUUGAAGCUGAGCCUUACGGAAAGUCCAUUCUCGGGCCGGCGGCUCCCAGGCUGGCAGCAAAGACCUCCCCUGAUAGGGGCAGGAGAGCACAACCCAGAGGCCCGACCGACGGGUUCUACCCCAGCACCUCCCUGGUGGGGCGCGGAAUUUGGCUCCGCGUCGCCAUCUCGUGGCCUUAUGGAGCAGCGCCUGCCUGGUAACUGGGGAUGUCGCAAGGCGGGAAGCGACCGAGGCACGCGAAGCCCUCAGGAGUGAUUGGCUUCCGAGACCCCGCCCCCUUGUUAGGGAGGUCCUGGAGCUGGGACUGCGGUUACCAUGGCAACGGUUGAGCAGGCCCAGUCCCUUCCUCUGGCCACCCAGAAUCCUGCUCAGGACCUCGCCGGAGACCGGGAUGUGGACACCAGCGUUCCUUUUCAUCCUCCUUGCUGAAUAACCUGUGUAGAUGAAGAUGCUGCCUCCCAAAGCAGCAAGGCCUUCACCAACCAAUGAGCCUGCAUACGUACUGUUCGUCCUGGAUCUGCUAAGGAAACACCAGAGCUGUGGAAGUCACAAUGCCUGCAGGACUGAAGAUGCAGGCGACACCAGCUUUGGAGAAAGAAAUGCAUAAAAUUAUUCCAGAACAUUCGAUCAUUCUAGACAGCAAAGAAGUUAUCAACCAAUCAAGGAUUCAAGGGUCAAUUUUUAAAUUUACUAUUUUU
Molecule: long non-coding RNA, 869 nt
Organism: Heterocephalus glaber (naked mole-rat)
Lineage: Eukaryota; Metazoa; Chordata; Mammalia; Rodentia; Bathyergidae
Source: Ensembl